GGCUCCUUGAAUAUCAUGAGGGGUCGUGCCUUCCCGGUGAGCUUGCGAGCUUAAACGGACGCGGUAAAGCGUGCUAAGGUAGCUAAAUUAUGGCCUAUUAAUUGUAGGUCCUGUGAAUGGUUUGACGAGUUUCCAACUGUCUCUAAUUUUUUUUGGUGAACUUGAAUUGGAUGUGCAAAUGCUUCCAUGGGUAAGAAAGACGAGAAGACCCCGUGAAGUUAGAAAUUUUAGCUAUUGAGGCCUUUUAACUAUGAAGUUAAGUGUUAAAGGUUAUACUUUGUUAGGUGAAUAGUGACAGUUUUGGCUGGGGCAGCAAAAGAGCAAAGUCAGACUCUUUUAGUUUUAUGUGACUGGUGUGUUACGACCCACAAAUUNUAGGGUGUGAUUAUCAGAAGAAGUUAUCUCCGGGGAUAAACAAGCGUAAUCUGUACGUGAGCGAGUUACUUAUUAAGAUGGGCGGGUUGUGCGACCCUCCGAA
Molecule: ribosomal RNA, 478 nt
Filed under: Amusium pleuronectes
Lineage: Eukaryota; Metazoa; Mollusca; Bivalvia; Pectinida; Pectinidae
Description: partial 16S ribosomal RNA
Source: RNAcentral